UGACCGGAAGGGGUGGAACCGAGAUGCACCCCUUCACAGAUCUCAUUUAAGGGCUGGCAUGGAGGUGAGGGUAUCUCUCUAGAGAUGCCUGUAUACCUGAGGCCUUCUGAAGCAAAUGCCUACAAGUUAAGAGACACAAGCAAGCCUCAGGGAAUGGGAGACCACUACUCACGUUCUUCUUAUACAGAGAGAAUUCAAAACCUCCUCCACAGUAUUUCUGAAAUAACUGUUGGGCUACCUAUAUAAACCUGCUUUUAUAUAAGUAAAAAACUUUCCAGUUGCUCUUCCUUCGAGAUGUUUUUGCUAUUGGAACGGUGCAGUGAAUAAAUCAGCAUUCACUGGAACAGAGUAAGAGAGAGAUUCAGGGAUCAGAAGCACUCCUGUUGGUCAAGGAGUUCUGUGACUCUGGGCUGCUGACCUACUUCCCUUCAGCAAAAUAAGUACUAAAGGGGCUCCCCAGGAAGUCCGAGCGUGUCCAUUAGGCACCACAGAAUCUGACAAGAUCCUCAGAAGCGAAUUAGGUUAAUUCAGCUCUUCAGGAUGUCUUCUCUCCUGUGUGCACAGGGAGUAGAUGGUGACAAUUAAGCUGCAUUCACAGCAUGCUCUCUGCAAAUUCAGAGCUUGGUGGCAUGUGUUUGGCCUAUGCAAACUGCUGAACACACGGAAAAGAGUAUGAAGAAAGUACUAUAAAUCUGCAGCUCCCACCUGCAAGCUUUCCUCCUGCUGACAAGAAAGACCUGGUUUUGAACCAGUUACUUCUGUAGAAAGUCAUUCUGCAUUACACUAAGCCUGUAACAGAGAAUUUCUCCCCUAGAAAAGUCAGAUAAACUUAAGUACUGAAUGAUCUCAUAUUGCCUGUAGUUAGAUUUCUAAAAGAACAGAACCUCAGCUUAAGGGUUUGGAAAGUCUUUUACUGAAAGAAAGUGAUAGAAAAUGAAGAGGAAACGAAAGAUCUGAUUUAAGUAAGUCUGUACUCUUAGCCCUCCUGGCUAUCUUGAUGACAAAACCUUCCCCACAAGUAAUAUGCUUUACCAGCUGGCAAUGUUAUGAAAUAAAUGCCUUAGAAUAAGAGUCAGAAAUGGCAUCUGGAGGUUCAGAAGUGCAUCUGUUCUGUUCAUGGUACUUUCAGAUAAGUAAUUUUGUGUCACAAAUGAAGCUAUGUGGAAAAUAAAGUGUUGGUUUUAAAUCAGUUUAAUUCUUCUCAUACUAACUUCCAGCUGAGACGCACUCUUUUUCUUGUCCAUUGGUGAAUCUCUUCAGUAAAUAUCUUCUCAGUUCUACUUAAUAAGUCUUGAAAAUAAUUAAGCUGUUUUGUGCACCUGACCAGUUACCAAGUUUUCCUCAGCAGGCUGCGUAACAGGUGCCCAAAGCACAACAGAACAACAGCCAGUAGGCUGUAGAAGAGAUAUUAGGAAUCUAGGGUUUGCUAGCACUUGUAGCUUGUGGGGUGAUGCCCAACAUGUUCUGAAAGUGGUACAGGUAGCCAUGCUCUCUGAAAUGCAAAAACUUCUGCAGCAAAGCAUGGCAGCUGCUGACCAGUAGGCAUCUGAAGUUCCAGGGUGGGUGACACAGAGCACUAGCAAAGGAGUUGCCUGCAAAUGUCACCUUAGAGAAAGAAAAGGCAAAGGAACCAGCUGAAUCAUGUUAGUAGUGCUUUCUAGCAACAGUAGAACAAGUGGUAAAAUCAUCAAGAAAAAAACAUCAAGCAACUCUAUGCUGAGACUCCAUGCAUUGUAAAAUCAUUACUUGGCAUAGCAUAUGUAUACGUUCAAGUAAUAAGAAAUGAGAAUAUUCUAGAGAUAAAAUACAGGGAAUAAAAGUUGUAAUAGCAUAUAAUUCAGUAGUAGUAAAAGAGGAUAUUAAUUCUAACAUUUCUGCUUAAAGCCUAGCAAUCUAUGAAUUACCUGAAGCACACACUUAUUUUCAAGAUGUUUGGCUUUUGAAGGAUGUUCUGAAAUAUUGUAGGUUUUCUUUUCUAUAAU
Molecule: long non-coding RNA, 1982 nt
Organism: Numida meleagris (helmeted guineafowl)
Lineage: Eukaryota; Metazoa; Chordata; Aves; Galliformes; Numididae
Exons: 3
Source: RefSeq, a predicted model, not a curated record